CGACCUCGGGCUGUACGGGACUACCCGGUGGAUUUAAGCAUAUUAAUAAGCGGAGGGAAAAACAAA
RNAcentral lists this ribosomal RNA (66 nucleotides) under Bactericera tremblayi. RNAcentral describes it as "partial 28S ribosomal RNA". The record is from RNAcentral. Lineage: Eukaryota; Metazoa; Arthropoda; Insecta; Hemiptera; Triozidae.